GGCCAGACUCCUACGGGAGGCAGCAGUGGGGAAUAUUGCACAAUGGGGGAAACCCUGAUGCAGCGACGCCGCGUGAGCGAAGAAGUACCUCGGUAUGUAAAGCUCUAUCAGCAGGGAAGAAGAUGACGGUACCUGACCAAGAAGCUCCGGCUAAAUACGUGCCAGCAGCCGCGGUAAUACGUAUGGAGCAAGCGUUAUCCGGAUUUACUGGGUGUAAAGGGAGCGCAGGCGGCCUUGCAAGUCUGAUGUGAAAGGCCGGGGCCCAACCCCGGAACUGCUUUGGAAACUGAGCAGCUAGAGUGCAGGAGAGGUAAGUGGAAUUCCUAGUGUAGCGGUGAAAUGCGUAGAUAUUAGGAGGAACACCAGUGGCGAAGGCGGCUUACUGGACUGUAACUGACGUUGAGGCUCGAAAGCGUGGGGAGCAAACAGGAUUAGAUACCCCAGUAC
This 447-nucleotide ribosomal RNA is filed under the name uncultured bacterium. RNAcentral's name for it is "partial 16S ribosomal RNA". It matches the Rfam family "Bacterial small subunit ribosomal RNA", at positions 329 to 793 of the family's 1533-position model. The record is from RNAcentral.